UAGGUGGCUAGCGUUGUCCGGAUUUACUGGGCGUCAAGAGCUCGCAGGCGGUCGUUCAAGUCGAGUGUGAAAGCCCCCGGCUCAACUGGGGAGGGUCACUCGAUACUGAUCGACUCGAAGGCAGGAGAGGGAAGCGGAAUUCCCGGUGUAGUGGUGAAAUGCGUAGAUAUCGGGAGGAACACCAGUGGCGAAGGCGGCUUUCUGGCCUGCUCUUGACGCUGAGGCGCGAAAGCUAGGGUAGCAAACGGG
Molecule: ribosomal RNA, 249 nt
Filed under: uncultured bacterium
Lineage: Bacteria
Description: partial 16S ribosomal RNA
Rfam family: Bacterial small subunit ribosomal RNA
Source: RNAcentral